This 312-nucleotide ribosomal RNA is filed under the name uncultured bacterium. Its description in RNAcentral is "bacterial SSU rRNA". It matches the Rfam family "Bacterial small subunit ribosomal RNA", at positions 30 to 334 of the family's 1533-position model. The record is from RNAcentral.
AUUGAACGCUGGCGGCAUGCCUAACACAUGCAAGUCGAACGGUAACAGCAAUUUUCUUCGGAGGAUUGGCUGACGAGUGGCGGACGGGUGAGUAACACGUAGGAAUAUUUCUAGUUGCGGGGGAUAACUCGGGGAAACUCGAGCUAAUACCGCGUAAGCCCUUCGGGGGAAAGGAUGGGAUCUUCGGACCAUUCGCGAUUGGAGUAGCCUGCGCAAGAUUAGCUAGUUGGUAGGGUAAAGGCCUACCAAGGCUGUGAUCUUUAGCUGUUCUGAGAGGAAGAUCAGCCACACUGGGACUGAGACACGGCCCAG